Molecule: ribosomal RNA, 325 nt
Filed under: uncultured eukaryote
Lineage: Eukaryota
Description: partial 18S ribosomal RNA
Rfam family: Eukaryotic small subunit ribosomal RNA
Source: RNAcentral
CCCUUAGAUGUUCUGGGCCGCACGCGCGCUACACUGACGAAUGCAACGAGCUUAUAACCUUGGCCGAAAGGUCUGGGUAAUCUCCAAAUUUCGUCGUGAUGGGGAUAGAUUAUUGCAAUUAUUAAUCUUCAACGAGGAAUGCCUAGUAAGCGCAAGUCAUCAGCUUGCGUUGAUUACGUCCCUGCCCUUUGUACACACCGCCCGUCGCACCUACCGAUUGAAUGGUCCGGUGAAGCCUCGGGAUUGUGGCUGGUUUCCUUUAUUGGAGGUCGGUCGCGAGAACUUGUCUAAACCUUAUCAUUUAGAGGAAGGUGAAGUCGUAACA